CUACGGGCCGCACCAGUCGAGAAUCUUCCGCAAUGGGCGAAAGCCUGACGGAGCAAUGCCGCGUGCAGGAUGAAGGCCUUCGGGUCGUAAACUGCUGUCACCGGGGAUGAAUAAUGACAGUACCCGGGGAGGAAGUCACGGCUAACUACGUGCCAGCAGCCGCGGUAAUGCGUAGGUGACAAGCGUUGUUCGGAUUUAUUGGGCGUAAAGGGUUCGUAGGAUGUUGAUUAAGAUUGGUGUGAAAUCCCAAGGCCCAACCUUGGAACUGCAUUGAUUACUGAUGAACUAGAGUGUCGUAGAGGAAAGCGGAAUUCCAGGUGUAGCGGUGGAAUGCGUAGAUAUCUGGAAGAACACCGACAGCGAAGGCAGCUUUCUGGGCGAUAACUGACUCUGAGGAACGAAAGCAUGGGGAGCAAACAGGAUUAGAUACCCUGGUAGUC
RNAcentral lists this ribosomal RNA (440 nucleotides) under uncultured bacterium. RNAcentral describes it as "partial 16S ribosomal RNA". It matches the Rfam family "Bacterial small subunit ribosomal RNA", at positions 339 to 795 of the family's 1533-position model. The record is from RNAcentral.